AACGCGAAGAACCUUACCAAGGCUUGACAUCCCCUUGACCAGUGCAGAGAUGUACUCUCUCCUUCGGGAGCAAGGGUGACAGGUGGUGCAUGGUUGUCGUCAGCUCGUGUCGUGAGAUGUUGGGUUAAGUCCCGCAACGAGCGCAACCCUUAUCCUUAGUUGCCAGCGAGUAGUGUUGGGCACUCUAAGGAGACUGCCGAUGAUAAAUCGGAGGAAGGUGGGGAUGACGUCAAAUCAUCAUGCCCCUUAUGUCUUGGGCUACACACGUGCUACAAUGGUCGGUACAAAGGGAAGCGAAGUAGAGAUAUGGAGCAAAUCCCAAUAAACCGAUCCCAGUUCGGAUUGUAGGCUGCAACUCGCCUACAUGAAGUCGGAGUUGCUAGUAAUCGCGAAUCAGAACGUCGCGGUGAAUGCGUUCCCGGGUCUUGUACACACCG
This 437-nucleotide ribosomal RNA is filed under the name uncultured bacterium. RNAcentral describes it as "bacterial SSU rRNA". It matches the Rfam family "Bacterial small subunit ribosomal RNA", at positions 958 to 1392 of the family's 1533-position model. The record is from RNAcentral.